Molecule: ribosomal RNA, 210 nt
Filed under: uncultured Lactobacillus sp.
Lineage: Bacteria; Bacillati; Bacillota; Bacilli; Lactobacillales; Lactobacillaceae
Description: partial 16S ribosomal RNA
Rfam family: Bacterial small subunit ribosomal RNA
Source: RNAcentral
GGAAACAGAUGCUAAUACCGGAUAACAACAGAUGAUGCCUAUCAACUGUUUAAAAGAUGGUUCUGCUAUCACUCUUGGAUGGACCUGCGGUGCAUUAGCUAGUUGGUAGGGUAACGGCCUACCAAGGCGAUGAUGCAUAGCCGAGUUGAGAGACUGAUCGGCCACAUUGGGACUGAUACACGGCCCAAACUCCUACGGGAGGCAGCAGCC